UACGUAGGGUGCGAGCGUUGUCCGGAAUUAUUGGGCGUAAAGAGCUCGUAGGCGGUUUGUUGCGUCGGCCGUGAAAACUUGGGGCUUAACUCCGAGCUUGCGGUCGAUACGGGCAGACUUGAGUUCGGCAGGGGAGACUGGAAUUCCUGGUGUAGCGGUGAAAUGCGCAGAUAUCAGGAAGAACACCCGUGGCGAAGGCGGCUCUCUGGGACGGUACUGACGCUGAGACGCGAAAGCGUGGGGAGCGAACAGG
RNAcentral lists this ribosomal RNA (253 nucleotides) under uncultured bacterium. Its description in RNAcentral is "partial 16S ribosomal RNA". It matches the Rfam family "Bacterial small subunit ribosomal RNA", at positions 524 to 776 of the family's 1533-position model. The record is from RNAcentral.